This 497-nucleotide ribosomal RNA is filed under the name uncultured bacterium. RNAcentral's name for it is "partial 16S ribosomal RNA". It matches the Rfam family "Bacterial small subunit ribosomal RNA", at positions 28 to 507 of the family's 1533-position model. The record is from RNAcentral.
GAUGAACGCUGGCGGCGUGCCUAGUACAUGCAAGUCGAGCGAACGGACGAGAAGCUUGCUUCUCUGAUGUUAGCGGCGGACGGGUGAGUAACACGUGGAUAACCUACCUAUAAGACUGGGAUAACUUCGGGAAACCGGAGCUAAUACCGGAUAAUAUUUUGAACCGCAUGGUUCAAAAGUGAAAGACGGUCUUGCUGUCACUUAUAGAUGGAUCCGCGCUGCAUUAGCUAGUUGGUAAGGUAACGGCUUACCAAGGCAACGAUGCAUAGCCGACCUGAGAGGGUGAUCGGCCACACUGGAACUGAGACACGGUCCAGACUCCUACGGGAGGCAGCAGUAGGGAAUCUUCCGCAAUGGGCGAAAGCCUGACGGAGCAACGCCGCGUGAGUGAUGAAGGUCUUCGGAUCGUAAAACUCUGUUAUUAGGGAAGAACGUAUGUGUAAGUAACUGUGCACAUCUUGACGGUACCUAAUCAGAAAGCCACGGCUAACUACGUG